This 325-nucleotide ribosomal RNA is filed under the name uncultured bacterium. RNAcentral's name for it is "bacterial SSU rRNA". It matches the Rfam family "Bacterial small subunit ribosomal RNA", at positions 82 to 425 of the family's 1533-position model. The record is from RNAcentral.
UUUUCGGAGUUCAGUGGCGGACGGGUGAGUAACGCGUGAGAAUCUGGCUUCAGGUUCGGGACAACCACUGGAAACGGUGGCUAACACCGGAUGUGCCGAGAGGUAAAAAAUUAAUUGCCUGAAGAUGAGCUCGCGUCUGAUUAGCUAGUUGGUAGGGUAAGAGCCUACCAAGGCGUCGAUCAKUAACUGGUCUGAGAGGAUGACCAGUCACACKGGGACUGAGACACGGCCCAGACUCCUACGGGAGGCAGCAGUGGGGAAUUUUCCGCAAUGGGCGAAAGCCUGACGGAGCAAUACCGCGUGAGGGAGGAAGGCUCUUGGGUUG